AGAGACCGGGAUGACACGGGCCUAGGAACUGAGCCGUGACAGUGACCAAGGCAAACGGAGCUUUAGGGAGAAGACACAGCCUCCUCGAAGACAACAGUCUUGCAAGCUUGAAGGAGAGGCUGGAGAAGCCCCAGCGGGAAGAGAGCAGGUGGAAGGCACGGGGAAGGGGGGAAAGGCGGCAAAGACACCGUCCUCCCCGCUGGACAUUUAGGCUACAGACCAAGGAGCUAGGCUAACGAGGUGUAAGUACAGCCCCGCAAAGUUGCAGUGGAGAGUUAAUGAGUCAAAAGAAAAGUCGCAAGGAAACCCCAGCCCCUGGUGGUUGGUCUUCACCGCUCACAACGUGUCACAUGUGGCCUUAGGCUUUCACGGGAAGUACCUAGAGUCCCCUCGACCGAGAAGCACGAUGUUGAGAGUUUCGCGUGGAGGACCAAAAAGCCUUAAAGAGAAGGACUUCGGACCGUCUGGCUCAACGACAAGUGAACACGGUCGGAUUUACCAGGAAGAUGCCGCCUCAAGCUGCUUUCCUCUGGAGACGGAGGGGUCACUUUUGUGACGGUUUUGAAAGCAGGAAAAUUCCGGAGACCUGGCAAAAAGAUCCGACCUCAAGGUCUGCCCGCUUAGAGGGCGUUCUUUAGCGAUGAGGUGUCAUUGUACAUGUGGAACCUGAAAUACUGAGUUUCUUUGUACAUCAGAACUAAAUAUCCCGUUUUACUGCUGCAUCCACUGCUGAUGUCUUUGAAGCCUUGCAAGAAGAAAAUCACUACCUUACGAGCAGUCUUAACUGAAUCAGCUAUUUUGCACCAAUCAAAAAUGUAUCUAUUUUUAUCAGGAUACAAAAAAAAAAAAAAAAAAAAACCCCAAUACGUCUAUAAGUAAUACAAAGUUGAGGAUACAGGUGCUAAUUGAUUGACAUCCCCUAAGAGCACCGCCUCCCACCUCCGCACACCCUGGUCUGACGUCCAAUUUUAAAUUAAGACUGGUAGAUAAAUUCUAUUUUCUGUAAUUUCAUUCAGCUCUAGGCCCGAGUUGUUUGGGAGCUACUGGCCUGAGGCACUAAGAUUCUCAUCAAAGGGACAGACUAACGAGGGUUUCUUUCCAAGAUCAAAGCAUGUCUUUGUUUCUGGGUGAUUACUUUUCUUUUAACGGCGGUGUUUAUUUUUGUACACAUGGUCCUUUUUGUUUGUUAUCUAAGAUGUUGUGAAAAUAUUGCUGCCAGGACUUCAGCGCCGAGUGGGACCCUCUCGGCCUCAGUUUCUCUGGGCGUCUGUUCUGGGCUCAACUGACCUGUGGGGACGGGACUCCCCGCCCUCCCGCCUGGCCCCUGGGCCGUCUGCCACCCACCUCUUCAGCUAUCAAAGGCUCUUUGGCCAGAGCGGUAUGUUUUGGUUUCAUCUCCAGGUACUUUGGACUCGGGAAUGUUUGGCAGGAGAGAGAAAAACAGAAAAGGUCAGUUUCACUUGAGGCCCCAUGAUGCCAGCGGUCGUUUCCCACAAGUGACCCGGCUCUGACUCAGCUUUCACUUUUCUUGUGACGGCGUCUCUGAUGGCAUCCACAUUCCAGAUCAGCCGGCGAGGGAGCAGCGCGAAUCUUGGCAUCCACACGGCGGAUGCUCAGCCUCCAGCCGGGCCAUCUCCUGCCGCCUGUCUUUUCCCCGCAGGGGUGCAAGCUGGCAGGUAGACCCGGGGGCCCCCAGUUUUGAUCUGCGUGGUAUUUUUAGGGGAGAGACUGUGAGCCAACAUUGAAAAAAGGGGAAGAGUUGAUGUACGCAUCUAGGUGGCCGUCUGCUGAAAGUGGUGGCCAUCUAGCAAGACGAGAGCCGCAUCUCCCCGAGGCUGCAGCGGGCCAGAGAUGAGGGGGUAGCCCCUGCCUUUUGCAGGGGAACUGCCUUCUUCCCUUUUCCGCAGUCUCCAGCACGCCUCACAGUGGCCCCUGCUGAGGUCAGGUGAUCCUUGCCAGUCACGAUGGUGCUUAUACGCCAGUUUUUCUUACUUCCAGCCUGCAUUUCUCUCUCUAUGCCUUUCUUGGCCCACGCAGGUAUUUGGAUUUGCAGCCUCUCCUCCACGAAGUAUUUUAUUCAUAAAAUCCCAGCUUUGGGCGCUUUGGGAAGCCAUCCAGUUAAAUGGCUAAGCGUAUUUUAUUAACCACAUUGACUUCCUUUAGGCCCUGUCACUGUCACUUGGGGUUCCUCCCCUUGUCUUCUCCUGAGAAUAGGCUGGUAUUGUUUCCCACCGGACACAGAAGUCAGCCUGUCAAAGUCAGGCAGGGGACAGGCACAGGGGACGUCCCAUUUUACGAUGGACCUUUUACCUGGAUGGUCUCAGGUAGCUCUCAGGACAACUCGGAAAGGACUUUUUAUCACCUCUGCUUUAUAGACGGAAAGGUCACGGGGGGUGAGGAGCUGGCCCAGGACAACACAGUGGGUGGGGGUGGGGUGGAGCCCAAACAGAGUCCCUCCCAUCUUGCUCCCUCACAGAAGAUGGUACUGCCUUGUCGAGUCCUGGGCUUGACAGUUGGAAAUCUUUAAUUAUUGUCAGAGGAGCGCUAGAAUUCCCCAGCUGGAUGUCUUUAAAGACAAAGACUGUAUUUUACUGUUAUUAUCAUUACUAGGGAUGUGCCCCCAGCAUGUGGAAGUUUCUGGGCCAGGGAUGGAACCCACACCAUGGCAGUGGCAACGCCAGGUCCUUAAUCUAUUGUACCACCAGGAAACUCCCAAAGGUUGUAUUUUAAAACAAGGCAAAGAGAAAGAGAGCUAUCAUGAGUGGUUUCUGGGUUUGAAAACUAUUUCGAUUUUCUAAGGACUGACGGUUCAUAUAACCUGCAUGGCUGUCAUUCUGCAUCUCUCACAUGCGAUCCCGUGUAUUCUGACUGCAAGUCAUUAUUCGAUGGUGUGGGAGGAAGACGACUCUCCAGCGUUCAGGCUUGGAAUGAGCAGCUUCCUCCUGCUCCCUUUCCGACCAAGCCCUCUGCUCUGGGCGUUACUUCUCAGCUGCUGGAGGAGAAGGUAUUUCCCUUUCCUUCUGACAUUUCAGAGAUGCCAUUUGAUAUGUCAGCUGAUGUGGUCAUUUUUGCUACAGCAACUUACAAAGGCUGCGCUUCUUCCCAACUGCUGCUCUCCCAGGGAUCAUCCCUUACCCAUGGAGACGGCCGUAAAGAGGGGCCGUCCUCUCAAGGCUUUUAAAAGGAUUUCUCUAGAAUCAUAUAUGCAUGUGUGUGUAUGUAUGCAUAUAUGUGUGUAUAUGAGUUUCAAACACUAAAAAAUUUAUUUUGCAAAAUUCACUUCCAGUGAAGGGAGGAAAGGUGAUUUGUGUGACUCCCCCUCCCACCUGGUGACUCAGUUCAUUUCAGGACGAUGGUUUUAAACAGAAUCAUAGCAACGGGGGAGCUUGAUCAACGCUUGCAUCUAUCUUCCUGAAAACUGAAUUCAUACCAACC
Molecule: long non-coding RNA, 3435 nt
Filed under: Sus scrofa (pig)
Lineage: Eukaryota; Metazoa; Chordata; Mammalia; Artiodactyla; Suidae
Description: lncRNA (ENSSSCG00030073597.1)
Source: RNAcentral